Molecule: ribosomal RNA, 503 nt
Filed under: uncultured bacterium
Lineage: Bacteria
Description: bacterial SSU rRNA
Rfam family: Bacterial small subunit ribosomal RNA
Source: RNAcentral
GGCUUAGGAUGAACGCUAGCGGCAGGCUUAACACAUGCAAGUCGAGGGGCAGCGGGAUGAGCAAUACAUUGCCGGCGACCGGCGGAUGGGUGCGUAACGCGUAUGCAACCUACCUUAUACAGGGGAAUAACCUUUCGAAAGGGAGACUAACACCCCAUGGUAUUGAUUUAAGGCAUCUUAGAUUAAUUAAAUAUUUAUAGGUAUAAGAUGGGCAUGCGUAUGAUUAGCUAGUUGGUAAGGUAACGGCUUACCAAGGCGACGAUCAUUAGGGGUUCUGAGAGGAAGGUCCCCCACACUGGUACUGAGACACGGACCAGACUCUUACGGGAGGCAGCAGUGAGGAAUAUUGGUCAAUGGGCGCAAGCCUGAACCAGCCAUGCCGCGUGCAGGAAGACGGCCUUAUGGGUUGUAAACUGCUUUUACAUAAGACUAACCGUAUAUUUGCGAAUAUACCUGAAUGUAUUAUGAGAAUAAGGAUCGGCUAACUCCGUGCCAGCCGCCGC